UACGUAGGAGGCGAGCGUUGUCCGGAAUUACUGGGCGUAAAGCGCGUGUAGGCGGUCUGAAUAGUCUGCUGUGAAAGCGCCUGGCUUAACCGGGCGAGGUCGGCGGAAACUCUCAGACUGGAGGCCGGUAGAGGGGGGUGGAAUUCCCGGUGUAGUGGUGAAAUGCGUAGAGAUCGGGAGGAACACCUGUGGCGAAGGCGGCCCCCUGGGCCGCGCCUGACGCUGAGACGCGAAGGCUAGGGGGAGCGAACGGG
Molecule: ribosomal RNA, 254 nt
Filed under: uncultured bacterium
Lineage: Bacteria
Description: partial 16S ribosomal RNA
Rfam family: Bacterial small subunit ribosomal RNA
Source: RNAcentral